Molecule: ribosomal RNA, 253 nt
Filed under: uncultured bacterium
Lineage: Bacteria
Description: partial 16S ribosomal RNA
Rfam family: Bacterial small subunit ribosomal RNA
Source: RNAcentral
GACGAACCGUGCAAACGUUAUUCGGAAUCACUGGGCUUAAAGGGUGCGUAGGCGGGUUCUCAAGUCUGUGGUGAAAUCCCCCGGCUUAACCGGGGAACUGCCGUGGAUACUGGGAAUCUCGAGGGGUGUAGGGGCAUGCGGAACUUCGGGUGGAGCGGUGAAAUGCGUAGAUAUCCGAAGGAACGCCGGUGGCGAAAGCGGCGUGCUGGACACCUUCUGACGCUGAGGCACGAAAGCCAGGGGAGCAAACGGG